CGCGUAGGCGGCCUGGUGAGUCAGAUGUGAAAGCCCGGGGCUCAACCCCGGAAGUGCAUUUGAUACUGCUAGGCUUGAGUAUGGGAGAGGGAAGUGGAAUUCCUGGUGUAGAGGUGAAAUUCGUAGAUAUCAGGAGGAACACCGGUGGCGAAGGCGACUUCCUGGACCAAUACUGACGCUGAGGCGCGAAGGCGUGGGGAGCAAACA
RNAcentral lists this ribosomal RNA (207 nucleotides) under uncultured bacterium. RNAcentral's name for it is "partial 16S ribosomal RNA". It matches the Rfam family "Bacterial small subunit ribosomal RNA", at positions 568 to 774 of the family's 1533-position model. The record is from RNAcentral.